UUUGCCCUCUUUUCUCUCUCUAGCCGCCGGCCUCUCUGCCUUCUCUCUAAAAUUUUUCCCCUCUCUCUCUCUUUCUCUUAUGGCUGGCGCUUCCACCGUUUUCCUCACCGUCGACCGAUGAGACUUCAGCCUCCCUCUCUCCCUCAAAGCCUUCUUUCCUUCCGAUCGACGGAUCUAGCACUCCCUGCCUCGGUCGACGGUGACCCAACAGGGUCUACCCUUUCCCUUGUCGGUGGCUGGUAUACCGACCUCGAAAAGCUUUGGCUUCCACUCUCCUUUAGCCGGCACUCCAAAGAUCCAACACUUCCUUCAAAACUCACCAAUCUCCCUCACUCAAACAAACCCGAAUCCAAAUCCUAGCCCCCUACUCUCUCUCAUUUUUUUUGUUUUUUUGUAUAUAUGUUAUUGUGCUUUGUUUUUUGAUUGUUGUUUUUUUAUUUUUGCCUGUGGCUAGGUAGCUUGCUGGUAGAUUUAGGAUUUUUUUUUUUUUGGAUUUUGAUCUCUCUUUUGGUUUUGCAGGUGGUGUCCUUAAAAGCUAGGUUGUCCAAAAAUUUGGACAACCCAGCAAUGGAGUUCUGGCACCAAGGAGUUAGUGGCCGAGCCCCAUCAUGCAUGGUGGUUGGGGAAGGGAUGGCCAGGCAUACGCCCAGUCAUUUCUUUCUCUCUUUUUAUUUAUUUAUUUUUUAUUUUAUUAUAUAUUUUUUAUUAUAUAUUUUUUUUAUUAUAUUAUUUUUUUUGAGGUGUCUACAUGGAUAAUGACCUGUCAUACUAAUUUAUUACUUAAUUUCAU
RNAcentral lists this long non-coding RNA (790 nucleotides) under Theobroma cacao (cacao). RNAcentral describes it as "long non-coding RNA (TCAC_LNC004762)". The record is from RNAcentral. Lineage: Eukaryota; Viridiplantae; Streptophyta; Magnoliopsida; Malvales; Malvaceae.